Molecule: long non-coding RNA, 370 nt
Filed under: Sinocyclocheilus anshuiensis
Lineage: Eukaryota; Metazoa; Chordata; Actinopteri; Cypriniformes; Cyprinidae
Description: lncRNA (ENSSANG00000036446.1)
Source: RNAcentral
UGAGCCGGAUGGACGGCAGUGACUCCGAUCUGAAGGAAACACACUUGGCUAAAGUUAAAAGCUACAUAGAAAGUCACUUUCCAGUUUUCAAGGGACACUGUCAGCAGGAUGCACACGAGUUCCUCAUGGCUUGUCUGUCCUGUCUGAAAGAAGAAAGCAUGACCUUAAAAUCGUCUCAUCCCUCAUACACGUGCCCCGUGUCCAGUAUGGAGUUCAAGCUUAAAAGCGAGCGCACCUGCAACAGCUGUGGCGUCAAGAAGAGUUUCUCAGAGGAGUCAAACUGCCUCUCGCUGGUCAUCGGCCCUCAUGCGAGUCUCGCAGACAGUCUGCAGCAGUACAUGAACGCGAGUAUCAGCGCUAAAGUCAUUAU